Molecule: long non-coding RNA, 736 nt
Organism: Drosophila subpulchrella
Lineage: Eukaryota; Metazoa; Arthropoda; Insecta; Diptera; Drosophilidae
Exons: 3
Source: RefSeq, a predicted model, not a curated record
UACAUUCGCCUUCGGUGUGUGUGCGCGAGAGCGAGAGAGCGCAGGUUUCGUGCGAGAGCGAGUGAGAGUGUGUGUGUGCGAGGGCUCAGGAGCGGACUUGCAGUUAAUGCGGGUUCUUGGAUAUCCCCUGUUCCUAUCCAAAUCUUCUUAGCGCCCCUCUCACUGGCGCCACCUGCACUCCGCCCCUGGGUUUGUUGAUAUCAACUGUUGCAGUGCGCAGCCAGCUGGUGUGUGAGUAACUGAGCACGACAUACAUACAAUCAUCGGCUGCGACGCUUAUGAAUCAGCUGUUCCAUGUGUAUUAAUCAUAUGGCUGUUUGAUUAAUCUACAAUUCUGAACGCUUUCGAGUACGGAAAAUCAGAAUAAUACAUGGAUACUAUACGUAUUCCCACACACAGAUACUCACUAUGCUGCCAUGUACUACAAGAUCUGAUAUAAUAUGCAUAAAAAUGGCAUGCAGUUAAAGUCGUAUACUUAAAAAAAUACGCAGGAACAUACAGAUAACUAUACAUUUUCACAGAUGCAAGUUCGAUGUAUAUACAUACUAUUUAUCUACAGAAUGACGCAGCGGAACAUGCACUUGCAUUUUCAUACAGUGUCAGGUAUAAAUAUCGGUUAAAGAACAGUGUACAUACGUGCAUACGUAUGUAUGUAUACACAUACGGGUGUGCAUGAUUUAAUUGUGCUCUGACACACGGAAGUAAUCGCGUUGAUCGUUGCGACCACAAUAUUUUA